Neofelis nebulosa (Clouded leopard) is the source of this 1235-nucleotide long non-coding RNA. RefSeq lists it as uncharacterized. NCBI's taxonomy places the organism in Eukaryota, Metazoa, Chordata, Mammalia, Carnivora, Felidae. The record is from RefSeq and is a predicted model, not a curated record. The transcript has 3 exons.
CUUCAAUGAGACUUAGCACCAUUGUCCCCCAUGCUAUCAUUCUGCCCAUCUUUUCUUCUUUGUUGGGUGAAUUCAUGAACUCCUGGAGGAUGGGGAUGAUGACACAUUCAUUUUUAAAUUUCCUAAAUUUCUUUCCAGAUGCCAGAGGAAUUAUGAAAUUUUCAUACAUCCAAGAGUCACCUGGAGAGCCCAUAACACGUGCAAACCCCCAGAGCCCUUUGCAGGUGAUUCUGAUUCUGUGUGUCUGAGGCAGGGCCUAGAUGUGCAUUGCAUUUUAUCCAGCUCCCCAGGAAUCCAGGACGGGUGGUCCUCCGAGCUCACACGCAUGCUGAGAAAUGCAAACCCGGGGAAUAAGGGGCGUGUGGCGAAAAUGAAUGAAGAAGGAGAAGGGGGCAGGAGAUGAAAAGAACACCUAAAGCCCUCUGGAGGUGCAAAGCUCAGAUCUGCCAGGUUGGAAGGGGAACAGCUUUUCCUGGGAGACUCGGAAUUAAACUGACAAAAAACAGAUUAGCAAAAGAAGAGAAGAGUUUCUUUAGGCCUGCAACGUGCACACCUGGGGAGGUUUGCAUAACAUACAUAUGAAUGUGAGCAAUUAUGAACAUCCGUGUAACAGCCUCUUGGAGCAAGAAGCACAUUAGCAACAAGUCCUUGGUACCUCCUGUUGAAUCGACGCUGUGCUGGGGACGCAGGACCUCCGCCUGACACCACAGAGGAAGUGGCUGUUGACCCCAGUCAACGGGGCUGGUAGAGAUCAGACUGCGAUUCGGUGACUUACCAGCUGUGGAACUUCGGUCACUUUCCCUGCCUCGGAGCCUCGGUCUCCUCACACACGCCGUGUUGGAGGGACACCUAUCUCAUAAGCUUGUUUGCGGAUUGAGCACGUGAGCCUUGCCUCUGUGCCGCCCCAGCGGGCCUGAAGUCACGGUGUUUCAGCACACUAGGCUGCCACCCUGGGCAGGUGUCUCUUCUCCAUCCCCUCACCCACCAUCAAGACCGAAAGUACACUGUUACAGCAGAUAGCCCAGUGACUUUCAAUGGCGUUUGGUCAAAGGGAAAGGGGGAUUUUGUGGUUACGAUAGCUGGGAAGCAGUGCUGACUUCAAUGGGAGGGACAGGGCCACGAAACACCAUGGAACGUAGAAAGCGUGGCCUCCCCAAGAAUGUCGUCAGCAUCCCCUUUGAGAAACAAAGCCACGUCUGAGAGUCCAGAAGGAAAUAAAAAAGGAUCGAACAAGC